ACUAUAAAAGAAUAUAUGUUUGAGAAUGUAUAGUAUAGCAUUUGUUUGUCAUAUACGAAGUCCAGGACGCUAGCUCCAGUGUUGAUUUCCAAUAAAAGAAGAAAGAAAGGAAGAACAAGACUAUGUACCCUACUCCUUGGGGCAUAAAAAAGAAAGUGCUGUAUGAAAAACACUUAAAUAUCUCAAAAGUAUCGCCAUUGUUAAGAUCAUUCUGAUACUUGGAAAGUGUAUUUUAAUUGUUUUCUCUAUUGUAGGCCUUACCCUAAUUCAGUGAGUGCACUGCGACCAAGAAGGAGGUGGGGGGUGGGGUGGGCAGGGGGCCAGAUUUGUUCUUCAAGAUCCAGACUAGCAAUGGAGUAUUAUAAUCAGUAUGGGAAGGGGAAAGGAAAGGGAUGGGCAACAAAAAACUAAGUAGAAGUUGAUUGAUUGAUUCUUUGAUUGAAACCAUUGUUCCAGGGUACCUCAAAGGAGUGAUUAAGUAUGCGGAGUGGAGGGAGAUGAGAUGAAUCUAAGAAGUAAACAUUUGUGAAGCAUCUCCAUUCUGUCUGGAAUAAUGCGUGAAGUGGAGGGGAUAGUGGAACAUCUAACAAGCUUAACGUUGAUGUACUAGAUUAGACAUACUUGCUAUGUCCCUGCUAAUCCACCAUGAAGGUGCAGCUUCCAUCCUCUUAAAGCUCAGCUUACUAAAUGAUUUGUCUGACCAAGGAGUGAAGUCCAGGUGGAAGGCCUGGAGGCAG
Molecule: long non-coding RNA, 737 nt
Filed under: Mus spicilegus (steppe mouse)
Lineage: Eukaryota; Metazoa; Chordata; Mammalia; Rodentia; Muridae
Description: lncRNA (ENSMSIG00000019983.1)
Source: RNAcentral